Molecule: long non-coding RNA, 244 nt
Filed under: Polistes fuscatus (common paper wasp)
Lineage: Eukaryota; Metazoa; Arthropoda; Insecta; Hymenoptera; Vespidae
Description: uncharacterized LOC122525687
Source: RNAcentral
AGGAUAAUCGUUUAUAAUGUAUAAACAAUGGUUCUUGCCUCAACAACCAAAGGAAAGUCAUUAAAUUUCAUUUUAAUUAAGGAACAUGAUGGAAAAUUAGAAAAGCAGUGUAAGGUCUAUACAUAUGUUAAGAGCAUUUAUUUAUUUUUUUUUGCUGUUGCGAUUCUAUGCCAACUUUUUUGUGCUCACUAAUAAUCAUUAUAUUUUAUUGAAUGAUUAUUGAUCUGAUUUUUUACCGACCAUU